Molecule: unclassified non-coding RNA, 7485 nt
Filed under: Leishmania donovani
Lineage: Eukaryota; Euglenozoa; Kinetoplastea; Trypanosomatida; Trypanosomatidae
Description: gene:LdHU3.32.2400(CDS-product:protein_kinase_put ative)
Source: RNAcentral
CACAUCAAUAUCAUCACUACACACCCCGACUCUUGUGCUGGGGAACGCUCGAGCCUUCCACCCGCUCAACCAGCUUCUGCCUUUCGCUUUGCGCAGCGCCCUGCACGGAGGACUGUGAUAGAACCGAAAAAAAAGUCAACAGCAACAAAAACGGAGUGAAAGGUAGGGAAGUCGCUUCAAGCAGAUUGCAGCGAGGACAAAGAGACCGAUCGAGAGCGACAUCGCCCUGUUGAGCCUUCCCUUACUGUACAGCACACCCCUCAUCACGUGUGUUGUGGCUGUUUCCCUCUGAACCCGUCGCUGUAAGCCGCCUCUCUGCACAUUCUCUCUCAUAUUGCUUUCUCUCUCUCCUUUUCGCUUCCUUUCUCCACCCUCUUUCCCGUGUUGUUUCUUUUCGCGUGUGCGUGUAUUUUUCCUCCCCCUUUUUCUUUGCGUGUGUGUGGUGUUGUCGAGCUCGCGCGUAGGUUUAUGCUUCUAUCGUGGACAACAGGACAAGAGAACAAGGAAAGAACAAAGAAAAACGCAUAAACCAAAUCUCAGAAUUCUCAAAAAACUUUUCGUUUCGUUUGUGGAUUUCUUUCACGCUUCAAAAAAGACAUUGUAUUGCGUCAUCCCUUGGUUCGGUGGUUUUGUUCCUCUUUGUUUCUCCUCCACUCUCUCUGUUGUGUGUGUGUAUCUUUUUUUUCCCUUGCGUGGGCGGCCUCUGCUUCUCUCGUGCUGCUUUCUGCUUGUUUUUCGGGGGUUUUUAUUUCCUUUUGUGUGGGCGCGCUCGAGAGAUACUCCCUUCCCCCUCCGCCGCCUCAAUCUGAUCGCACCCUACCACGGCAGCUGUAUCAUACAGCCAUAUACACAUACCCAGUAGUGGAAGGGUUGCACAGCGACACUUUUUCUCUCCGUCGUUUUUUUUUUUUUGCUUGCUGGUGAGUGUGCGGGAUUCGACGCUCUGUUUGCGUCGACUACUGCCACUGCUACUACUACUGCUGAUCUCUCUCUCUCCUUCCGCCUUUCCUCCGAGGGUUUUCUUUGAUUGUUAUCUCUGUUCUUGUGUUGGCGUUUCUAGUUGGUGUUUGGCUUUUGUUGUAGUAGUCCGCGUUCCCUCUUCUCUUCACGCUUCAUAUUAUACAUUUUGGCUUAUUCCGUUCUUGGUUCUGUUUUUUUUUUUUGUUUGUUUCAUGAGUGGUAAGUUGGUAUCACUGCGUACACCCUCUCCUCUCCCUCUCCCUCAUUAAGCGUGUGUGCGCUCGUGGUUGCUUGUGGCUCUUUGUGUUUGAUUUUGUUAUUGUAUUCUCGGCAGCUUCUCUCUUCUUUCUCUCUCUCCAGUCACACUUCCUCUCGGCGCCACAAAGAACCAGGCACACAAUCUUCUCCCUUCUCUUUCCCGUCAGCUCAACGGUGCACCCCACCCCCUCCACCUCCCCCUCCCUACUUGCCCCAUCUCUCAGCCUCUCUCGGCUUGUAUACGGAAGCUGGCUGGCCGGCUACUAGCUCGUGUGCGCGUGCACUGCCGUUGGAGUCCGCGAGAAGGUUCUGGGGUGCAUGUGUAAGUUUCUCUGGACGUCUGUCACGCUACUGCGUUGCUUCGUCUCGCCUACACCUGAACGCUCUCACACGUUUCGAUUCCCGAGGCUCACGUAAACUGUAUACAAACGUGCAGACACCCCACACGAAGGGUGUUGGUUUCCUUUGUUUUCUUGUUCACAAGAGAAUCUGUCUACUCUCUCUCGGCGCUCUUGCGUCCAUCUUUUUGGUCUGCUGGUCCUCUCGUUUCCGUUAUCUCCGUGCGAUUCUCUCCUCUCCUGGGACUGCCACGCUCUCCGGUGUGUCUGCAACUCUUGGAUACACACCGUACCAAGAGCGCGAGGUUUCGGCUGACGCUGUUGUGUGUCGGGUGGUGUUUCUGUGCUCAUCACCUUAUUAUCAUCACGUUGUGCUCUUUCUUUUUUUUUUGAUUGGCGUGCAACUGUAGCAGCAGGAGACUCACGCGGACUGCCACUAACUGAAUCCGUGGCGAUAUUUUGGCCUUUGCGUCUGUUUGUUCGCCUUUAUCACCUCUACGGGUAACCCUUUUUUUCGACGCCUCUCUCUUUUUAGAGGUCGGCACCUGUAAAAAGGUGCAGCGGCAACACUGCAGAGACUACGCGCGCGCCCAGCAAGGGCUUCUCGCCUCAGGUUUUUGUGUGCCCUGAACCGUGUUGCAACCCCCGCUGCCUCCUUUUCUUUUCCUGCAAUCUGUUGUCUUGUUUCUUACACGAGGGACAGGGCACUUUGUCUGUUCUCUUCUUGUACAUCUCUUGUGUGCUGCCCCCCCUUCCCGCCCCUUCGCAUCUGAGAAAUCGCCUGUGCGUUCUUGGGGUGCGCACACACGCUUCCUUCGUUUUAUGUUUUUUUUGUUUGUUUGUUUGCUUUUGUCAUCGAUCGACUGUUUCUUGUUUGUGUGUUGCUCUCUCAAGGCUCAGCACGUGUAGCAAAACCAGUAUUCUGCGUCUUUCCGUUUGUUUUCGAGGUUUGGAGUUUCUGUGUCUGGGCGCUGCUAGGGUUCCGUCAGUCUUGCAGGUGUCGCGCUUCCGGUUUCACCAGUAGACUCCUUUGGGCGCCCGUGAGGCACAUCCCUUGCGCACCACCAUCGGCGUAAUCAUGGGCGGCGGCUUGUCAAAGAGCCAACUCAAUGUCCACUACCAAGGUGCGACAGAAGUGGAGAGUACCUACAUUGUCACUAAAACGGACCCCAACAACAACGUCGUAGGUGCCGCCUCAGCGACGAAGCCGUUGUCUGUGGUGGACGCGCAGUGGGCAAGAAACGCCACUGAGCCUCGUAGAGAUGGCGUCGCCGUUUCGGCAGCAGCGGCGGCGGCAGCACCACGCAAAGAGGAGGCGAGGGGGCUUGGCACCGCCCCCGCGAGAGCCGGAAGUGCCCUCGACGGCGUCGGCGGCAACCGCGGCACGAACUCCGCCACCUCGGCGGUGGACGACAAUGGCUCGCCCAUUCCCAUCCGAAACGGGGGGAGCCAUGUCGGGUACAUCUGUCUGAGCGACAUCAUCGGGGACAAGGACAGCCACAGCAAGUAUAUCAAGAUCAGUUCCAUCGGCAGAGGCGCCUACGGAGAGGCGUACGUAGUGAAGCGCAACCCGGCCUACGACGCGGCUGCACGGCCCAUGGUGGAGGCGCAGAUUCAAAGCAAUGCGCUGGCGAACCCGACACAGCCAAAUGGGUUGUAUGUGGCGAAGAUUAUGGACUUGCGCGCGAUGGUGUCGCAAGACCGGCAGUACGCACAGACCGAAAUUAUGUGCCUGGCGCACACGCAUCACUUCGCCAUCAUCCGCUAUUACGAGCACUACGUGCUUGACAGCGAUGACGAGACGGUGGUGAUCGUGACAGAGCUUGCGGAUCACGGUGACCUGCGCCGAAACUUGUAUAACGCCUCCGCGGUGCGUCCAUUUCUUGAGGCGGGCAGCCAAGCCACAACAGGCGGCAAUGCUGGCACUAAUGAUUCUCGGAUGCUGUUGACGGAGCGAGAGGCAGGCACAUACUUUGUGCAGCUGCUGUUAGCCCUGCAUCACAUCUCUGCGCGUCGCAUGAUCCACCGUGACAUCAAGAGUGCAAACGUGCUGCUUACCUCUCGCGGCUUCCUCAAGCUUGGCGACUUCGGUUUCUCCCAGAAGUACGAGAGCACUGUCAGUAGUGAGACAAUCGCCGGCACAUUUCUCGGCACCCCGUACUACCUCUCGCCAGAGAUGUGGAAAGGAAAGCGCUACGGCAAGAAGGCGGACGUCUGGGCGGCCGGCGUUGUGCUUUACGAAAUGCUAAUGGGUGGGCGCCGCCCUUUUGAGGCUGCCAGCUUGCCGGAGCUGCGCAUGUGCGUGCUCGAGGAGGAGUUUGUUCCACCUACGGGCCCACCGACAUCAGGGGCAGCCGAUGUGAACAGUCAGGAGGGCGGACAGCCAAAAUUUUCCAACGACAUGCGCGAACUGCUCGUCGCCAUUUUUCAGAAGGCGCCCGAGAAGCGUCCGAGUGCGGAGGAGCUGCUGCACAAGCCUGUCAUGCAGCACUACCUCUAUGUCUUUGAAAAGUAUGUCCAUUCUCUUAUCAGCUACGAUGCAGCGGCACUGGCGGCAAACCCGACGAUGGACCGGCAGGGACUCUACUUUGCCGACCCGGAGGAUCAGGCAAUGGUGCUGCAGGGCAUUGCAGAGGGGAAGGCGGCCAUUCAACAAGUGACGAAGCGCACGAUCUCCGAGAAUGCCUCGGCGCGGUUCGAGGGCGUCGUGUACAAGGAUAACCACAACGGUGUCUGGAAGGAGCGCUAUCUGCUGCUCGAUGGAGCCACGCUCACAAUUUCCCUGUCCAAGGGCAAGGAGGCCGUGGGCGGCGGUGAGCGCAGCAAACGAGUGCUGCUUUCCUCCAUCAAGUCAGUGAGCCCUUGUGAGGUGGAGGACGCGCACGUGCGCGUCGUGAACGCUGCGUCUCCUAGCGAUGGGUACAAGCCACCUUACGCCUUUGCCAUUGCGAUGCACAGCUCCAACUCUAUCGUCUUUGGUGUUGCUAGUGCUGAGGAGCUGGACCACUGGAUGCAGGCGCUCAUGCGUGCCCUGCAGAUCGAUUAAAGGGCGGGGGAGGGGAGGGCAAAGGCGGCAAACCAGCGCGAAGGAGAGGGCGAGACAGAGGAAAGGCAGAGGGAGGGGUUAUUCGGGACGAGAAGAGGAUGGUGCCCGCCGUCCAUCCAGAGAGUAGCGGCACUGAAGGAGAUCUGCGCCUAAAGACGCAUUGCCAGGUGUGCAUGCGACAGCCACCCGCCUUCGUCAGCUCGUGUGCUCGUAUCCCUCUUUCUCCUGCUCUUUCUUUCCCCGCUCCAUUUGUCGGGCAGCGGUAUCACGGCGCGGUGCUCUAUCCUAUUAUUUGCGCUUCUCGUGCGCACCUGCCGUCUGCAAGCUUCACGGAAUGGCACUCGGUGUCGCACAUAGCGCAUCCGUCCGCUUCCACUUUGACCUGCUCCUCUCUUGAUUUCUGCUGUAUCCUGUUCACGUCUCCUACUACCGUGCAACUCUCUAUAUGUGUGCUCUCCUCUUUUCUUCCCAUCACUUCCGUCGUUUUUUACUUUCUUUUUGUUUCGUGAUAUGCAUCUCUUUUAUGUUAGCGAAAUCGUUUCGUGGACAGCGAGUGCGGACGACGAGCCCUCGCGCUCUCUCGCUUCUCACCUGCCCCAUCACCCCUCCUUUCGUUCGCCCGCCAGCGAGUGCACCGCUCCAUUCGGGGGAAGCACAGAUGUGAAAGCGUCCUUCCUUUGCUUGCUCUGUUUCGCUGUCGUGGUGGCUUUUGAUCGAGCCACCGCGGUGCGGCGGGAUCGAGGGAUGAGGACGAGUGAUAUUUCUUGUUUUGUGUGUGUGUGCUCGGUUCCCGUGUUCAGUGAAAGCGAUCGCUUCAACUGUCAGCUGUAUCUGUAGUUUCAUGUUUGCUCGAGAAGGAUUCGAAAAGGCCUUAUGGUUUUUUUUCUCGCGUUGCUUUCACUGUCCGUGCCUUGAGAGUAAGCCCCCCCCCACCCCACGCUAUCCACCCCCCCCCCCUGCAUGUUUCCACCAGGUGUGUUGAGGAAGCUGUAAGGGCAGGCGGCUCUGCACUCUCUUCUGUACACAGACACAACAUAGACGCGUGUGCAUGCUAUUGAAUAAAGGACGCACUCUGUGCCUGCGCGUGCGGCCCUCCGUGUUACACACCCUCCUUCUUCUUUCUUUCAUCUCGGCCCCCGUCCCCCUGUCGUCGGACUCACAAACACACACACACACACACACACUGACGUUAGCGAACGGAAACAAACGACUUUACCCAAGUGCUGCUGAUGUUGUUGUCUUGUGUUUUUUUUUUCGUUUUGCUCUUUGUGUCUUGUCUGAGUUUUUUCCUUUUUUUUGUCGUUGUUUGUUCCCCAAGGUCGUUUUCGGUUCCGUUUUUGUCUCGGGGCUCUCUUCUUCUCUGCAUCCUCCUCUUUCCGCUUUUUGCUUUUCACCUCUCAUUCAUCACAACGUCGUCGCUCUGCGGUCGGUGAGGGACCUCCCUGCAGCUCCGUUGCUCUCUUUCGCGCGGUUCGCGUCGUUGUGCGUAUUGUUCAGCGUGACGGAUUGUGUCGCUGUCUAGUUCUGUGUGUGGGCAAGUGCGGCCAGCACGAGCACCACAAAUUCUACUGUUCUCGCCAGCGUUCCUUCUCACCUUUCUGCGCUCGCAUAGGUGAGCGGCUCCUUUUAUUUUGUCUGUUCUCAUUUUGGAGCUGCCUGGCGUCUCUGGCAGUGCCUCUGCGGCGCUUUCCUCAUGGGAGGGUGUUUAGAAAGCGGCAGGAAUGACGGUGACAUGUGUAUCUCUCUCUCGCGACAGGUAUCCUUUUUUUUUAUUUGGUGUGUGGCGAGAAGGUCUGAUCUUUUGCGUCUUCUCUCUCGCAUAUCAUGAUGGAGGCCGGCGGACGGGGUGGUGGUCGUUGGUGAGGGUGAAGGCGCCUCACGUUCGGGCGCCUGUCCACCUUUGUUUUCCCCGCUGCGCCUGUGCCGUUGUUCACGCGAGCGUGUACGAGCUCCUCCUGCGUACCACACUGUCUCUCUCUGCGCAUUUCUGUUAGUCUUUCUGGCAUCGCUCCCCUUUUCCCAGCAUCGUAGACGCUCUCACGUUCAUGUCUGUGAGAGCAGGUGAACUUGCAUCCGGUGUGCCUGAGCAACCUUUCCCUACGAUCUACAAGGCCUGCCCUUUUUUUCUUCUGCUUGUGUGUAACCUUCCCAAUAGCAAGAGUGAUAUCACCCCGCUUUUGUUGCUGUUGGCACCACGGCUACAUCCAACGGAGUCUAUCUGGGUUGGGACAGGGCUGUGAUGCUGUCGCCCGUUCUACUAUAUAUUAUGGCCCUUCUUGUUUCGCAGCGAGGCCUCUGUAAACCGCAUGAAAUGCGACAACAACAAGGGAGGGAGAGAACAUGUAUAAAUAUAUAUAUAUAUAUAACUUUGCUUCACGUCUGCCUUUCUGUUUCUUUUUUUUUUCUUGUGCGCCGUUACACACCUUCCCCCUCCUCCUCAUGAGCUCAUCGGUCACACCUCAAAACCAAAAAGAAAGAGAGGAAGCUACCUUUGCUGGUUCGCUUGUCUGUUCUGCUGGUUUCCUUUCUUGUAUUGCAUUCAGCAGCAGCAGCACCAGCGAGAGAUUUUUCUUUUUUGCAUUCUGGUUCUCUCGUUUCUGUUGUGCUUCCACAUCUCUCUCUAUGUGUGUGUGCCCGUGUGCAUAUGGCUUGGAUGGUUGGGGUGUGGAGAGGGGGAGAGGGGCUCUACUUCACUUUCUGUUUCUCCCGAUUGACUUGUCCCUUCUUUUCGCUCUUUCUCUCCGUCCCUUCUGUUUAUCCUCGACAAUUUUUCAUUCGACGUUGCUUCACCCCUCACGGAGGCGGCUUCUCUCUUACCUUCUCUUUUCUCCGCUCUCUGUCCUCUUUCCUCACGCACGCCCUCGGCUGCUUUGGUUUGUGAAG